RNAcentral lists this ribosomal RNA (497 nucleotides) under uncultured bacterium. Its description in RNAcentral is "partial 16S ribosomal RNA". It matches the Rfam family "Bacterial small subunit ribosomal RNA", at positions 28 to 507 of the family's 1533-position model. The record is from RNAcentral.
GAUGAACGCUGGCGGCGUACCUAAUACAUGCAAGUCGAGCGAACAGACGAGGAGCUUGCUCCUCUGACGUUAGCGGCGGACGGGUGAGUAACACGUGGAUAACCUACCUAUAAGACUGGGAUAACUUCGGGAAACCGGAGCUAAUACCGGAUAACAUGUUGAACCGCAUGGUUCAACAGUGAAAGACGGUUUUGCUGUCACUUAUAGAUGGAUCCGCGCCGCAUUAGCUAGUUGGUAAGGUAACGGCUUACCAAGGCAACGAUGCGUAGCCGACCUGAGAGGGUGAUCGGCCACACUGGAACUGAGACACGGUCCAGACUCCUACGGGAGGCAGCAGUAGGGAAUCUUCCGCAAUGGGCGAAAGCCUGACGGAGCAACGCCGCGUGAGUGAAGAAGGUCUUCGGAUCGUAAAACUCUGUUAUUAGGGAAGAACAAAUGUGUAAGUAACUAUGCACGUCUUGACGGUACCUAAUCAGAAAGCCACGGCUAACUACGUG